RNAcentral lists this ribosomal RNA (468 nucleotides) under uncultured Amoebophrya. RNAcentral's name for it is "partial Bacterial small subunit ribosomal RNA". It matches the Rfam family "Bacterial small subunit ribosomal RNA", at positions 762 to 1232 of the family's 1533-position model. The record is from RNAcentral. Lineage: Eukaryota; Dinophyceae; Syndiniales.
UGGGUAGCGAACAGGAUUAGAUACCCUGGUAGUCCACGCCGUAAACGAUGAGAACUAGCCGUUGGGGGCCUUGAGCCCUUGGUGGCGCAGCUAACGCGAUAAGUUCUCCGCCUGGGGAGUACGGCCGCAAGGUUAAAACUCAAAUGAAUUGACGGGGGCCCGCACAAGCGGUGGAGCAUGUGGUUUAAUUCGAUGAUACGCGAGGAACCUUACCAGGGCUUAAAUGUAGUGUGACAGGGGCAGAGAUGCCUUUUUCUUCGGACACAUUACAAGGUGCUGCAUGGUUGUCGUCAGCUCGUGCCGUGAGGUGUCAGGUUAAGUCCUAUAACGAGCGCAACCCCUGUUGUUAGUUACCAGCACAUUAUGGUGGGGACUCUAACAAGACUGCCGGUGCAAACCGUGAGGAAGGUGGGGAUGACGUCAAAUCAUCACGGCCCUUACGUCCUGGGCUACACACGUGCUACAAUG